This 695-nucleotide ribosomal RNA is filed under the name Pseudomonadota bacterium. RNAcentral describes it as "bacterial SSU rRNA". It matches the Rfam family "Bacterial small subunit ribosomal RNA", at positions 28 to 722 of the family's 1533-position model. The record is from RNAcentral. Lineage: Bacteria; Pseudomonadati; Pseudomonadota.
AUUGAACGCUGGCGGAAUGCUUUACACAUGCAAGUCGAACGGUAGAGGGGGCAACCCCUUGAGAGUGGCGAACGGGUGAGUAAUGUAUCGGAACGUGCCCAGUCGUGGGGGAUAACGUAGUGAAAAUUACGCUAAUACCGCAUACGAUCUAUGGAUGAAAGCGGGGGAUCGCAAGACCUCGCGCGAUUGGAGCGGCCGAUAUCAGAUUAGGUAGUUGGUGGGGUAAAGGCUCACCAAGCCAACGAUCUGUAGCUGGUCUGAGAGGACGACCAGCCACACUGGAACUGAGACACGGUCCAGACUCCUACGGGAGGCAGCAGUGGGGAAUUUUGGACAAUGGACGCAAGUCUGAUCCAGCCAUUCCGCGUGCAGGACGAAGGCCUUCGGGUUGUAAACUGCUUUUGUACGGAACGAAAAAGCUCUUAUUAAUACUAGGAGUCCAUGACGGUACCGUAAGAAUAAGCACCGGCUAACUACGUGCCAGCAGCCGCGGUAAUACGUAGGGUGCAAGCGUUAAUCGGAAUUACUGGGCGUAAAGCGUGCGCAGGCGGUUAUAUAAGACAGAUGUGAAAUCCCCGAGCUUAACUUGGGAACUGCAUUUGUGACUGUAUAGCUAGAGUACGGCAGAGGGGGAUGGAAUUCCGCGUGUAGCAGUGAAAUGCGUAGAUAUGCGGAGGAACACCGAUGGCGAAGGC